GCGGAAGUAGCUCAGUUGGUAGAGCACAACCUUGCCAAGGUUGGGGUCGCGAGUUCGAAUCUCGUUUUCCGCU
Molecule: transfer RNA, 73 nt
Filed under: Prevotellaceae bacterium
Lineage: Bacteria; Pseudomonadati; Bacteroidota; Bacteroidia; Bacteroidales; Prevotellaceae
Description: tRNA-Gly
Rfam family: tRNA
About the family: Transfer RNA (tRNA) molecules are approximately 80 nucleotides in length. Their secondary structure includes four short double-helical elements and three loops (D, anti-codon, and T loops).
Source: RNAcentral